Molecule: long non-coding RNA, 1507 nt
Filed under: Gadus morhua (Atlantic cod)
Lineage: Eukaryota; Metazoa; Chordata; Actinopteri; Gadiformes; Gadidae
Description: lncRNA (ENSGMOG00000031466.1)
Source: RNAcentral
UUUUCUCUCUUUUAACUUUGGUUUUUAGUCUGUUGAAUGUGUUUUUUUCUGAAAAAGUUUUUAUCUUUGGUGCUGGAUACAAAAAAAGUAAUAUUUUAAGUGGCAGCUAGUAAAUUAUCUCUUAGGAGAUGCGAAAAUGGCCGUGUACAUCAGCCGGAGAAAUAAGGUGGAGGGCAGAGCAGGGCAUGAGGCCCCUCCUGUGUUCCUCUGUAACGUCAGAGCCAGAGUCUGGCUGGAGUAUACGUUUUAUAAGGCGUUUGGGGAUGUAGAUGCAGAUUUUAAACAGCGCCGGUGUUACAAUAAUAUUAUUUGCUUUGUUGAAAAUGAUGAGUUGCACUUUGCACAGGAUUUUGUUGGAUAAACCAACAAUUUUUAAAGACUGAACAAAUAGCACAUUUCCUGAUGUAUUGUACUCUCGGUUGAUUGUAAAAAAAAGUGUUUUUGAAAAAUCGCAAGGAGGGUCCGCGAGGACGUGAGGGGUCCGUAGACCCUCUUGGGCUGCGUCGACGUGGGACCACGAUCAGCCCCUAACAGAUCCUUGGUUGGACCCCCCUCCCAGACCACGGGGCUGGGGUCCCGGCGCGGGGGGGUGGCGGCGGCCGUCCCCCUGGGGGGCCCCAACACCAGCGAGCUCUGCAUGUGGUCCGAGUCCCACCACCACCUGGACGGCAUCCCCCAGAACCCCCACCACCUGGAGAGGGUCCCAGGGGGCAGGUCAGCGUGUUGCGGGUGCUAGACUGGAUGCCUGGACUCUCCUCAUGGAUAAUCGGCCAGAACCCCAUCACCAUUUUUUAAAUGUUGUACAUGUAUUUACCUGUGUGUCAAUUGUGGCACCCAUUGCACUCCUGACCAUCCCUGGAAGAAGGGAUCCCCUACACUGCGUUUCUUCUCAAGAUUUCUUCCUUGCUGAUUCAAGGGAGUUUUUUCUUGCCCGUGUGGGGGCAUGGGUAAAGGGGGGUGUCACAAAUAUUUGGCCUGUUAAGCCCUUUGAGACUGUAAUGGUGAUUAAGGGCUAUACAAAUAAAAUUGAAUUGAAUUGAAUUGAAUUAAAGCGUACCCCCCUAAAGGGAUCCUGCACAUGCGUGACCCGGGGAUGGAGGCAGCCUGGGCGCUACUCGACGGAGCCGGAAACUAAAAGGCACUCUCUUUAAAUGUCUUGCACACACACAAUCAUAAACACAUGCUCUAACGUACAUGCAUGCACGCACACACAAAGAAGCACACACAUUUGUUGGAUUAUUCACACUGCAGUUUCUCUGACUGGACUUUGAAAGGAUAACAUCGUUAUGACAUAAUCAAUACUGAAUGUGUACAAUGUCAAUGUGUCUAUGAGCUCAGCUAAUACUCAUAAUGCAGAUCCUAAUCCCCUUUUUAAAGUGUACGAAUAUUAAGGUGGCACCAAACCAAAACAUCUACCCACCCAACCUUUGAACCAAAAUGACCACCAUCAUCCUCCUUAUUCAAGUAAAAUAAGAAUCUUUAUAUAUAUAUAUAUAUAUAUAUAUAU